CCAGACAGCCAGGAUGUUGGCUUAGAAGCAGCCAUCAUUUAAAGAAAGCGUAAUAGCUCACUGGUCGAGUCGGCCUGCGCGGAAGAUGUAACGGGGCUAAACCAUGCACCGAAGCUGCGGCAGCGACACUAUGUGUUGUUGGGUAGGGGAGCGUUCUGUAAGCCUGCGAAGGUGUACUGUGAGGUAUGCUGGAGGUAUCAGAAGUGCGAAUGCUGACAUAAGUAACGAUAAAGCGGGUGAAAAGCCCGCUCGCCGGAAGAC
RNAcentral lists this ribosomal RNA (261 nucleotides) under Escherichia coli. RNAcentral's name for it is "partial 23S ribosomal RNA". It matches the Rfam family "Bacterial large subunit ribosomal RNA", at positions 1085 to 1345 of the family's 2925-position model. Lineage: Bacteria; Pseudomonadati; Pseudomonadota; Gammaproteobacteria; Enterobacterales; Enterobacteriaceae. The record is from RNAcentral.